Molecule: ribosomal RNA, 253 nt
Filed under: uncultured bacterium
Lineage: Bacteria
Description: partial 16S ribosomal RNA
Rfam family: Bacterial small subunit ribosomal RNA
Source: RNAcentral
UACGUAGGGGGCAAGCGUUGUCCGGAUUUAUUGGGCGUAAAGAGCGUGUAGGCGGCCAGGUAGGUCAGCUGUGAAAACUCGAGGCUCAACCUCGAGACGUCGGUUGAAACCAUCUGGCUAGAGUCCGGAAGAGGAGAGUGGAAUUCCUGGUGUAGCGGUGAAAUGCGCAGAUAUCAGGAGGAACACCAAUGGCGAAGGCAGCUCGCUGGGACGUGACUGACGCUGAGACGCGAAAGCGUGGGGAGCAAACAGG